UACGAGGGGGGCUAGCGUUGUUCGGAAUUACUGGGCGUAAAGCGCACGUAGGCGGAUAUUUAAGUCAGGGGUGAAAUCCCAGAGCUCAACUCUGGAACUGCCUUUGAUACUGGGUAUCUUGAGUAUGGAAGAGGUAAGUGGAAUUGCGAGUGUAGAGGUGAAAUUCGUAGAUAUUCGCAGGAACACCAGUGGCGAAGGCGGCUUACUGGUCCAUUACUGACGCUGAGGUGCGAAAGCGUGGGGAGCAAACAGG
Molecule: ribosomal RNA, 253 nt
Filed under: uncultured bacterium
Lineage: Bacteria
Description: partial 16S ribosomal RNA
Rfam family: Bacterial small subunit ribosomal RNA
Source: RNAcentral